CCCAGCUUCACCUGCUGGUUCAGGGAUUUGCUUGAGGGACUCAGAACUCAGGAUAGCUAUUUGAUUUGUGAUCAUGGUUGUUUACUGCAAAAGGAUAGAGAUUAAAAUCAGCUAAGGCAAAGGCAUGCAGGGCAGAGUCCGGGAGAGAGCGGACGCGGCCUUCCAGUGGUCCCUCCCGGCUGAGCUGUGUGGACAGCAUUUGUUCUCCCUGUGUGGCGGCAGGCACACAGAACCUACGCCCAGGCGAGCUCAGCACAGCCUUGGUGCCCAGGGCCGCAGUGCACGCGUCCCAGAGCCGUGGGAGGUUGGUGUGGCUCAUCUCAGUUCCUCCGUCUCCAGCCCGUCCAGAAACAGUGGCCCAGCAUAGCCCACGGCCACACAGAAAUCACACUGUUAGUGGAGACUGCCUGGCGCGGCCCAGCCCAGGUGAACAGAAGUUCUCUUUUCAGGCUGGGUGUCCUGAGAGCUUAGAGGUGAUCUCCCAGGAGCCGUCAGGGGUCAGUGCUUUCUCGGGAACGUGCAAGGUUUGAAAUCCUGCUGACUUCAUUCUUCCUGCACACUAAAUUUUGCCAGGUUUCCGCUCAUACCUUUUUCCUGGUUCAGGAUCCAUCCCAGGAUCCCACACCGCAUUUGUUUGUCCUGUCUCCUCCAGUCGGUACAGUUCCUCGGUCUUGGUCUUUGUCUUUUAUGACCUUGAGACUUUGGAGAGUACUGCCUGUGAGACUGGCACUACUGGAGCCCUCACUUAACUGAUGAGAAACUCGGAGAUGGUCCAACUCAAUGAACGUGAAUUUGAGCAAGCUCCGGGAAAUGGUGAAGGACAGGGAAGCCUGGUGUGGUACAGUCCAUGGGGCCACAGAGAGACAGGCACGACUGAACAACAGCAGCAAUCAGGUCUUUCAACUUACCUGAGCCUUGGUUUCUUCAUCUGCACCACAGGGAGGAUGACACCAAAUUGUUAUGGGUGGUGACCUCGCUGGCUGUCCUUAAAUGCAGUCACAGUGUGGAUAACGUGUCACAUUUAUGGAUAAUCAUAAAUGACAGCUAGUCACAGCUUUUGUGAACAUGUACUGUGUGCAGAGCCCUGGUUGGGACUGCUGAGGGGGAGCAGUCAGAUGGGUCCCUGCUCUCCUGAGGCCUGGAAUCUGUAUAAUGUCAAGUGUGGUGAGCUUGGCCUAUAAACCAGGCGGGAAGCGUCCCUUCACCUCCUGAGCUCUCCCGUCUCUCUCCCAAGGUUGUUUUGUUUUUAAUAUUUCUUUGGUUGCUUUGGGUCUUAAUUGUGGAGUUCCCUUACAAGGGAUUGAACCUGGGCACUCUGCAUUGGGAGUGUGGAGUCUUAGCCACUGAAGCACCAGGUAAGUCCCCCAGGUUUUGUGUUUAGUGCUGUGUGUGGGUGUGUGUGUGGGCACAUGCGCGUGCUAAGUUGUAUCAGCUCUUUGCAACUCUAGCUGCCGGGCUCCUCUGUCCAUGGAAUUUUCCAGGUAAGAAUACUGGAGUUGCCAUUUCCUCCUCCAGAUCUUCCCGACCCAGGGAUCGAGUCCUUGUCUCUUGUGUCUCUUGCAUUGCAGGCAGAUUCUUUACCACCAGCGUCACAGCCGGUCUGCCAUCGAAGAGCGUGUCUCAGCACCAGACCGGGACUUGUGGUCUGGUGGGUGUGAGUGUGGCCUCAGUGCCAACAGGGCUCGCUGCUCUUGGCUCCCCGUUUAGGGCACGGAUGGCCGUUUGAGAUUCAGCUGUAAAGCAGACAGACACAAAUCUGUGCCCUCGUGGAGCCAGCAUUAUCGUUGGGAGAGACACACAGGGGAAGUGAAAUACAUGGUAGAUGGGGAUGAGUGGCGAGGAGGGAAAGAAGGGACAGGAAGAGUGUCAGAGAUGUUGAGAUUCUGAAAGGGUGACCAAGGGGACCUGGUUUAGCAAGAGCAUGACAAGACCUGAACGCCAGGGAGUGUGCUGUGUGGCUCUGGGAGGGAAGGCCGGUCCUGGCCCUGGCCGGGGAAGAGCAGGUGAAAAGGCAGGGCCUGCAGGGCUGGGG
Bos taurus (domestic cattle) is the source of this 2032-nucleotide long non-coding RNA. NCBI's taxonomy places the organism in Eukaryota, Metazoa, Chordata, Mammalia, Artiodactyla, Bovidae. The record is from Ensembl.